AGCACCUCUGGCCCAUCUUACGGGAGGGGGGGGGGGGUCUAAAAUAAAAUCAGCUGUCACUGUCUGCUCGUUGGACAGAGGUGAUCACGUACUGCUGGAGCUGGACUCCAACGCCAAAAGGGAUUUGACUUGUGGCAAGGAAAGACGCCCUGCGGGCCAGGGGUUUCAGUGGCCUUCCUGUGGGAUUCUAUCGACUGAGUUGCAUUUUUCUAUUUUUCACAGACCUGCUGCUGGCAGCGCAGGUGUAACUACCAGGUUAGGACUUCCUGAGGAAGCUAUGAACUCAGAGGAACAGGAUUCACUCUGAAGACUCAGAUCCCAUUGACAGGAACCAACUGACAAGACCUCCUGACACCAGGAUCCACUGACACCAGGAUAUAUUGACCACCAGUACCCACUGACACCAGUAGCCACUGAAACCAGGAUCCACUGACACCAGGAUCCACUGACACCAGUAGUCACUGACACCAGUAACCACUGACACCAGUAACCACUGACACCAGUAGCCACUGACACCAGGAUCUACUGACACCAGUAGCCACUGACACCAGGAUCCACUGACACCAGUAGCCACUGACACCAGGAUCCACUGACACCAGGAUCCACUGACACCAGUAGGUACUGACACCAGGAUCCACUGACACCAGGAUCCACUGACCGUACCCAUGGCCAUGUACCAGCAGGCAGCUGACUCCAAGCAGCAUGACAACAUCUUCUCCAGCGGGGUCAUGGAGGAGUCGGAGGUCUGCUCCGUGCCUGGGGGGCUCGCCGGCAUCAGGGCACAAUUUGAGACCCAGGAAACUGCCACAUCGCACAACGUCACCCAGUUCCUCUUCCGCCACAGAGAGGUGCAGGAAGUGGAAUUGAACUCUGAGUUGAGAAUGAUGAGCAGCUCCAGGGAAGUCAUCCCAGCCUCUCAGCAGGCUAUUUCCCAUCAGGAUGAACAGGUCACACAUGAAGAAAACUUGGCCUCCAGUUAUGAAAACAACCAUAACAAUGAAGCAGGUAGGAUGUGACUACAGUUUAUGUUCGUCAUAUUUUACAGUAUGCACAUCAUUAAGAUAAAUAACACUGUUAAAAGUAUUUUUAAUUCAAUCAUAUGAGGUUGAUGGAUGAAUCUUGCAUUCAGAAAGUAUUCAGACCCCUUCCGUUUGUCCACAUUUUGUUACGCUACAGCCUUAUUCUAAAAUGGAUUUUAAAAAUGUUUUCCUCAUCAAUCUACACACAAUACCCCACAAUGACAAAGGCAAAACAGGUUCAUAGAAAUGAUUGCAAAUGUAUUAAAAACAAAAAACAGAAAUAUCUUAUUUACAUAAGUUUUCAGACCCUUUGCUAUGAGAUUUCGAAAUUGAGCUCAGGUGCAUCCUGUUUCCAUUGACCAUCCUUGAGAUGUUUCUAUAACUUGAUUGGAGUCCACCUGUGGUAAAUUCAAUUGAUUGGACAUGAUUUGGAAAGGCACACACCUGUCUAUAUAAGGUCCCAGAGUUGAUAGUGCAUGUCAGAGCAAAAACCAAUCUAUGAGGUUGAAGGAAUUGUCCAUAGAGCUCUGAGACAGGAUUGUGUCGAGGCACAGAUCUGGGGAAGGGUACUAAAAACUGUCUGCAGCAUUGAAGGUCCCCAAGAACACAGUGGCCUCCAUCAUUCUUACAUGGAAGAAGUUUGUAACCACCAAGACUCUUCCUAGAGCUGGCCGUCCGGCCAAACUGAGCAAUCGGGGGAGAAGGGCCUUAGUAAGG
RNAcentral lists this long non-coding RNA (1736 nucleotides) under Oncorhynchus kisutch (coho salmon). Its description in RNAcentral is "lncRNA (ENSOKIG00005006219.1)". Lineage: Eukaryota; Metazoa; Chordata; Actinopteri; Salmoniformes; Salmonidae. The record is from RNAcentral.